This 321-nucleotide ribosomal RNA is filed under the name uncultured eukaryote. RNAcentral's name for it is "partial 18S ribosomal RNA". It matches the Rfam family "Eukaryotic small subunit ribosomal RNA", at positions 1470 to 1796 of the family's 1831-position model. The record is from RNAcentral.
CCCUUAGAUGUUCUGGGCUGCACGCGUGCCACACUGAUUACUUCAACAAGUGUUUUAACUGGAGAGUUCGCGUAAUCCUGAAAUGUUAUCGUGAUGGGAGUAGAGUAUUGUAUUUGUUAAUCUUUAACGAGGAAUUCCUAGUAAGUGUAGGUUUAUAAGUUGUUCUGAUUACGUCCCUGCCCUUUGUACACACCGCCCGUCGCUCCUACCGAUUGGAUGGUCCGGUGAAGCCUCGGGAUUGUGGUUCUUGCCGCUUUAUUGUGGAGUGACCGCGAGAACUUGUCUAAACCUUAUCAUCUAGAGGAAGGUGAAGUCGUAACA